CUCCAUAGUGGAUAUGUCCUGGAAUGGUAUAUCCUCGAAAGAUCCGUCGCCUUAGGAUGGGACUGCGUCCGAUUAGGUUGUUGGCGGGGUAACGGCCCACCAAGCCUUUUAUCGGUACGGGUUGUGGGAGCAAGAUCCCGGAGAUGGAUUCUGAGACAUGAAUCCAGGCCCUACGGGGCGCAGCAGGCGCGCAAACUUUACAAUGCGAGCAAUCGUGAUAAGGAAACCCUGAGUGCCUGUCGAUGCAGGCUGUUCAUAUAUCUAAAUCAUAUGUGAAGAAAGGGCAGGGCAAGACCGGUGCCAGCCGCCGCGGUAAUACCGGCUGCUCGAGUGAUGGCCACUAUUACUGGGUUUAAAGCGUCCGUAGCUUGACUGUUAGGUCUCUUGGGAAAUCUUCGCGCUCAACGUGAAGGCGUCUAAGAGAUACCGGCAGUCUUGGAACUGGGAGAGGUAAACCGUACUUCGGGGGUAGGAGUGAAAUCUUGUAAUCCUCGAGGGACGACCUAUGGCGAAGGCAGUUUACCAGAACAGCUUCGACAGUGAGGGACGAAAGCUGGGGGAGCAAACGGGAUUAGAUACCCCGGUAGUCCCAGCCGUAAACAAUGUGCGUUAGGUGUGUCGGUAACCACGUGUUACUGAUGCGCCGAAGAGAAAUCGUGAAACGCACCACCUGGGAAGUACGGUCGCAAGGCUGAAACUUAAAGGAAUUGGCGGGGGAGCACCACAACAGGUGGAGCCUGC
This 741-nucleotide ribosomal RNA is filed under the name uncultured Methanocorpusculum sp. RNAcentral describes it as "bacterial SSU rRNA". It matches the Rfam family "Archaeal small subunit ribosomal RNA", at positions 152 to 898 of the family's 1478-position model. Lineage: Archaea; Methanobacteriati; Methanobacteriota; Methanomicrobia; Methanomicrobiales; Methanocorpusculaceae. The record is from RNAcentral.